Molecule: non-coding RNA, 3447 nt
Organism: Aegilops tauschii subsp. strangulata
Lineage: Eukaryota; Viridiplantae; Streptophyta; Magnoliopsida; Poales; Poaceae
Source: RefSeq, a predicted model, not a curated record
CCCGAGCCAUCCUCAACCUAACCCACCUCCUUCCGCCGGCAGCCGUCGUGGGCGAGCGAGCGAUGGCGUCAGCCGGAGCGAGGGAGCCCGCGGCGCCGUGACUGGCCGCCGACGGAGCCCAUCGAACUGAACCUCCCCGCGGCCCACCACUUCUUCCACCUUCCUUCUUCCGCAGCGAGUGGAUCGGCCGCACCGACCACCGGCCUCACCACCGCGCCGCCGCCCAGCGCGCCGCCGCCCCAGCCACCGGCCCCCCACCGCGCCGCCGCCUCCCUCCCCGCGCGCAGCGCCGCCCGGCCUCAUCCUCCCUGCCCCCGCCUCCUCCCCUUCGCCAGCGCGCCUCCACCUCCCGGCCGCCGGCGCGGCUCCACCUCCUCGUCCCGGCCGGCCAGGUGAUGCGCGCGCAUCAGUUCGCGCGAGGCCCGGCCGCCAGGCACCCUUUCGCCAUCUGGCGCGACGCCAUGGGUAAAGCCAGAGAUGGAGCUAUUCCAGCACCGGCACCUGCGACGUCAGUCCACCGACGUGCUUGGCGCCGUCCACAACUCGAUCGCGCUCGAGCUUAUGCUCCAGAUCACCUUCUUCAAUGUUCCGGCCACGGUUCCCCACUGCCAACACGAGAUCCCAACCACUUCUUCUGUAAAAACUGAAGUUAUCUAUCGGAUUAGCUCCUUCACCGGUUUCUGAAGAUGGGAAGUUCAGAGUUUGAGCAAGCGAAGGCACACUUGCACGUCGACUGUGCUCAGCCACCAGCAAUAACUUGGCAGAGGAAAUUCGAUGAUGAAGGCAAGAAGGUUGCUAUGCUUAGCAUGACCACUGAUAUCUUCACAGUUAUACCAUUGAUUUUUAAAAUGCUUCGAUUACACGUCGAAGGAAUCGCGAAAAACCAAGUUGCCGUCUAUGAUCCGCUCAGGAAAUGGAUGGACAACUGCUACCGCGGGGUACCCCUUGGCGGACUAGGUUCAGGAAGCAUAGGGAGAAGCUACCGAGGGUACUUUCAGCAGUUUCAAAUAUUCCCCAGGAUCUAUGAAGAGAAGCCUGUCCUUGCCAACCAGUUCUCAGCAUUCGUUUCGCAUCCUGGGGGGAAGAGCUACUCGACGGUGUUGAAACUGGUAUGCUGCUAUUUUUGUCAGGCUCGCCUUUUCGAUGCGCAAAAUGAUGAGGGAUAAAGCUCUGGUCAGGAGACUUUCUGCAUGCGAGACAAUGGGCAACAAGUUUUGAUUAUAUUGAUACCUAAUAAUAGCAUGUGCUCAUUUUUGAACUGAAACAAAAAGAGUCUCUCUAAUAAUAAAUGGGCUCUCUAAUAAUAAGUUCUAAGGAAAUAAAUAUAGAAGUUCAUAUUUCAAAACAAAUGAAGUAUUUUGGAAGUAAAAUAAACUAUUUCAAAGUACACAAAUUAUAUUUAGGUAUCUUUGUGUACUUCAACGUUACUGUACAUGAACUUGUACAUUUGCCUAUCCGUCAAACAGUUUGAGUUGCACUUUUUUUUUUGCCAUAUUUGAUCUAUCAUAUUUCUCUAGUUCCACCUCGUUCGUGAGUUCUUUUGACCGAGAGCUAGUAAGAUCAAACAUGAAUUUACAUCAGUUCAAAAAACAGAUUGUUGGGAAAUAAGAUUAAGACCAGAAACAAGAAAGAUGUACAAAAAGAAAAUUAAAAACCGUUUCAUUUGGACCUAUAUAAGAAAACAAUUUGCUGAUCACUACGAAAUUUAAAUAAAAACUUGGAAAAGUUUGAAAAAAAUCACAUAAAAAGUUCGAACUCCAAAACCUGGCAAAUUCAUGGUAAAAACAAAAAAAGGCAGAAAAGGUACAAUUUAUUUUUCAGUGUACCUAUAAUGUCCAGUUUUUCUUUCAGUUCAAUUCCUAGAUUUCAUUCAGUUCAAUUCUUAUGUAGGUACUUGGCGGUGGCAUUGCUUCACUUCCCUUGUUAUGCUCUCUUCGCCCAAGUUCCGAGAAUCAAGAAAACAAAUACUAGUGCUUGCAUGAAAAUGUACGAGCAAAAAAAACCCACAAAGGCCUUUGCGUAGAAACAUCACCUCCACACCCCCUCCAUUCAUGCGCAGUACAUGCUUCUCCUGCCGCCGCGCCGCCUGGAUCCAACGAGGCUGCGUCACACUGGCCCCGGAUCCGCCCGCUUCCAAUGAGGCUGCGUCACCCGCCGGCGCACCUCUGCCUCGCCGUGGGCAGUGGAUGCUUCUCCGCAGCUCAACCUCCUGGUAGCGGGUAGUUCGAUGCUCCCUGUCGCGCUACGAUCAGCGCUCCCUCGAGCUCAACAAGAAAUUCUUUCCGGCUGCGUCUGCACCUCUUAAAAGUUCACACACUCGAAGGAGGGAUCAUUGUUUCUUAUUGGAGAAGGCCUGAUGUUUAGUUGGUGUCUGUGUGGUACCUACACCAGCAUUUUCCAUCAAGACCUCCAGAAAGAGAGAUCAUCUCAAGGUGGUUCAAAUGUGUCGAGCGGCAGCAUCGCUUGAUCCCUAGUGGUUGCCCGCGCAAGGAGGAUACAGGGAUGCUACAGUGGUGGAGGAGUCAGUACAUGUAGUAGCUAGCUCAAGAAAAGCCAGCGGCCUGCUCUGGCCAUGCCGCACCACCACUGGCACGUCCACCAUGGUUGCUGGCAGCCGUCCAAGUUGAGCGCUGAUGGGAGUCCUUAGCGUGCUUCAACGACACUCUCUCAUAUCAAUCUCUCUUUCUUUGCUCCUGCUAUUAAAAUGUGUAGAUGUGCUGCUUUGCUAAUUGAGUAGUUGGGAAGAUGUGAAAAGAACAUGCUCUCUAGGUGUGUGAUUAUUCCUGUGAGCACAAAUGUAUUUAAAUGUUUAUUUUGUGCUUCAGCUUAUGCUUUUGGGCAGUACAAAUACAUCUUCAAAAAUAAGUACAGAUGCGGUCUUAUAGAACUCUAAUUGUUGUUGGAUGCUAUUCCAAAUGCCAAUGAUCAUGCAAAACGGUUAUUGCUAGAAUCUAGAUGAUAUGUAAUAUAGUUACCAUAGUUUCACCCUAUUUUUAUGGUUCUAAUUAUUGUUGCAUAAGUCUUUAAAAGAAAUGUUCGCUAAAUGUUUGUGAUCAUUGCUUGUAGGUAUUCGUAUGAACAUUAAAAUAAUGGCUUUUCUUGUAGGAGGUUCAAAGAUUGUCGUGGAGCAAGUUCAAGAGAUUAGUUUGGUGAAAAUAAUGUGAUCUUUUGGUCAGGAUUUUGCAUGAUCCAUAGCCAUCAGGCGAGCAGUUCAAGGCCUACUACGCGAGUCGUCUAUCGUCUUCUACGCAUGAUGAGCUUGUUGUCUCUACACAUCUAGCAUCAGAGUAUCUCCUCCCCUUGCCGCACACACAUGCCUGCGGUCGAGCUAGUGUUGUUUGUGAUUGCUGGUCGUGACUCUUACGUUGUCAUUGGACAAAUAAUUUGUUCUGUAACUCUGUACUGAUGGGACCUUCAGCAUAUAUGGUGUUUAGAAUUUGUUUGUAA